Molecule: ribosomal RNA, 814 nt
Filed under: uncultured bacterium
Lineage: Bacteria
Description: bacterial SSU rRNA
Rfam family: Bacterial small subunit ribosomal RNA
Source: RNAcentral
AGAGUUUGAUCCUGGCUCAGAAUGAACGCUGGCGGCGUGCUUAACACAUGCAAGUCGCACGAGAAAUCCCGGCUUGCCGGGAGAGUAAAGUGGCGCACGGGUGCGUAACGCGUGGAUAAUCUAGCCUCGAAUCCGGGAUAACAUUUCGAAAGGGAUGCUAAUACCGGAUAAUGUCAUGGAGUCCUCGGGCUUCAUGACCAAAGGUGGCCUCUACAUGUAAGCUACUGUUUGAGGAUGAGUUCGCGUACCAUUAGCUUGUUGGUGGGGUAACGGCCCACCAAGGCUGCGAUGGUUAGCUGGUCUGAGAGGAUGAUCGGCCACAUUGGGACUGAGAUACGGCCCAGACUCCUACGGGAGGCAGCAGUAGGGAAUUUUGCGCAAUGGACGAAAGUCUGACGCAGCAACACCGUGUGAGGGAUGAAGCAUUUCGGUGUGUAAACCUCUGUCGAUGAUGAAUAAAGCAUGUGGGAGUGGAAAGCCCAUGUGUUGAAGGUAAUCAUGAAGGAAGCACCGGCUAACUCUGUGCCAGCAGCCGCGGUAAUACGGAGGGUGCAAGCGUUGUUCGGAAUUACUGGGCGUAAAGGGCGCGUAGGCGGCCGAUCAAGUCAUAUGUGAAAGCCCACGGCUUAACCGUGGAAGUGCAUGUGAAACUGGUUGGCUAGAGUACCGGAGGGGAAAGUGGAAUUCCCGGUGUAGAGGUGAAAUUCGUAGAUAUCGGGAGGAACACCGGUGGCGAAGGCGACUUUCUGGACGGAUACUGACGCUGAGGCGCGAAAGCGUGGGGAGCAAACAGGAUUAGAUACCCUGGUAGUCC